UUUUUUUUUUAAUUCCAGUUAGUUAAUGUACAGUGUUAUCUUAGUUUUAGAUGUACAAUAUAGUAGUUCAACAAUUCAUUACAACACUUGGUGCUCAUCACAAGUUCCCUCCUUAAUCCCCAUCACCUAUUUCACCCAUCCCUCUAACCCCCAAAAAUCUAAUUUCUGAAGCAGAGCCACAGUUAUGGGGGGUUUGUUUUAUUACAUUUCCUUGAACUAUAUAUAUAGUUCAUAUACAGUCUUUUCUAUGCAUAAUUAAAAUUAAAGCAAACUUAAAAAGAAAAAUUAUAGUUAAAUCAUAUGCUAUAAAUAUAGAUCUUUAUUAUUUUUAUGUAAAUUAUUAGAAAUCUGCUAUUUAUUAUGGAUAUGUUGACGGUCUAAACUAUUAUUUAACAUACCAACUAUACAUUUAUUUGGAUCAAUAUUAAAAGAAAACUAACAUAAAGGCAUAUAAUGAUGCUUCUCCUUUAAAUCCACAACUCUUAUAAAUGUUUAUAAAAUUUAUUCAAAUACUCAACUUCUGCACACAAUUGAGCUUCCCUGAAUUUUUUGAUGAAGUUAGAAGUAUAAGGGAUAAAUUUACUUCUGCUGUGAUUCAUUAAUUACUGAUAAUGCUCCAAAGCAGUGAUUUAACAUGCAAAUGUAAAAUUUCUAUCUCUUCCUCUAUUUCAUUAUCAAAAUUUUCCAACUACCUUGUUCAUUAGAAAGAUGGAAGUCUUUCAUUCAUUCAAUGUCUGACUUCCAUGGGGAUGUUCACUCCAGCAAUAGCUGUAUAUUCUCCCAGCUAGGUAAAAAAUGAAAAUCAAGGACACAUCCAUUAUAUGGUUAUUUCUUCUUUACUGGUAAUGGCCAUUCAGUUGUAACCCAAAGUUGAAAAAUAACUAGUACAACAUAGUCUAGUCUUUUUUCCUUCUCAUUUACUUGACUAUCUUGUUCCUUAUUUCUAAUAAGUGCUCACAUGGCAUUGAAAGAGUUUUUAUUACUGAAACUGGCUUUCCACCAGAUUUUUCCUUGCUUUAUCCCUAAUGUCAUUACAAAUUGUAUUCGCUUUUGAAAAAACUUUAAAGGAGCUGAAUUUAAGCUAUACACUGUUAUUUGCAUAUAUGUAUUGGCACUGUAUUUUACAAUGUGCUCUUCCAAGCCAACAUAGAAGUGCUUACGCAUAUGUGCACACAUGUGCACACACAAGCACACACACACACACACACACACUUCACAAAGGUAAACUUCUGAGAGCUGAAAGCAAAUUCGAAACUCAACCUAACAUUGACCUCCAAAAUUCAAAGCAUGUUAGUGAGUGUUGUAUGAGUGUCCUGAAGCUGAGGACCUGGGACACAGAUGCACGUAGAAAGCAAGUAUAUUUCUGGUAAGCCUUUUUCCAGCAUAGUACAUGUUGCAAAUUGAUCACAACACUCUUUUCACUUAGCCAUGAAAAUGAAUUACAACACUUUUCAAAAACAGCACAGCAGGAGGUCACACCAAUUCAUCUGAGUUGGUGCCUAAUUGCCUUCUGUGACCAAUUAGAAAAAUGGUGACUUCAUUGAACCAAGUAUUCUAAAUCACCCUGUCAGGUCAACUCUAAUUUUCAUAGUAGUCAGAAGAUAAAAGACCAACCAAAUGUAUAUCUUAAUUUAUUAUAUGUCCUGGCCAGUGGCACCUGGCAACACAGUUUCCACUUAGGAAGAGGAUGUAUGGGAAAUACUGAUGCCAGAAAAAUCUUCACUAAGACAGUGAAGCAGUUUAAAGAACUUCCAGGAUGCUCCAUUCGUCCUUCGAACUCAUUUCAUUUCAUCUUUUUAGCAGAAAUGGUUCCUUAGCAGUAGUCAAAUGGUUUGAAAAGCCAGCUCUUUCUAUGGACACUCAUGUUUAUAAGGUUUAUUACACGAUAUUUAAUGUCAAGAUAUACAAACUCUGUGGGUUUCUUGUUUGAUUACUUGUAUUUUUGUUAAUGUAACAUAAAUUUAGUGACAGAGGUGUUGCAGUUAUGAAGGAACUUCUAACCAUAGCCAGGAACUUCAUAACAUACACACACAUGCAUACACACAUGCAUAUGCACAUACAUACAUACAUGCACACACAUAUACAUAUAUUUAUUUAUGCACACAUUUUUCUUUUUUGAGCAAGGGAGAGCACACAGGGAGAGUGAGAGGGAGAAGCAGACCCUCCACUGAACAGAGAACCUGACGUGGGCUUCGAUUUCAGGACCUGAAAUCCUAACCAGAGCUGAAGGCAGACAUUUAACCAACUGAGCCACCCAGGUGCCCCACACAAUAUUAAUAUAUACACUAUAUAUACACACAUUAUUAAACAUACACAUUAUAUAUAUGUAUAUAUAUAUGUAAAAAAUUCCCAUUAGAUAAGAAGAAAAACACCUAAUGAUUCUGAAAGUAGCCUUUGCAUACUUCUGGACACUCUUCGUACAUAUAGAGCCUUUGUAAAAGUUGAUUCUUAAAAAUACUAACAAUGUAACAGACAAGGAAGCCAACAAUCAAUCAAACAAACAAACAAACAAACAAACAAAAAACAGAUAAUAAGCUAUUUUAUCUACUAUUCUCUCAAUUUUCACAACACAAGAAGUUUGGAAGAAAUAAUUUGGUUACCUUCAUUUUUGAAAUUUUGGUUGUACAAUAAAAAUUUCUGAAAUUAUUAUGUGUCUUGGGGAAGGAGUUUAAUUUUUCACUUUUAAAUGUAUAGCUUCUAUUUUUUUUAAAUUAGCUAGUGAAUUUGACAGGCCUUAUUCAAUAUAAAUGCUAUGUUCCAAGGAUGUUAGGAAACAAGGUCAAUUAUUUGCCUUUCACUUUCAGAGGUAGAGUCUAUACAACCUUGAAUUGAAGUAAAUCACUAGAAACACAUAAGCAUAUUUAGUCUGAAUCUGUUCACAAAAUAAUUAGAGAACUUAAUCUAUAUGCAUACAAGAAUGUCAGUAAUGAUGUUUACAUGUUUACCAAAGCACUGGUUAUUUACGAAUAGGGCUUCUGGAUGAUUUAUAAUGUAUUUCUUGUCUUUCCUGUGUUGCUCGAGUUGUUUAUAAUUGUCAUAUAUUCAUUAUGAAAAUAAUGUUAUUAUUAUGAAGCUAAGUAAAAUAAAACGUGUUAACAGACAAGUCUUGAAGUUAAACAACAUAGUAAGAAUUUGACACAUUUAACUAUAUAUGGAGAACAUUAAAAAUGAAACAAAAAAAUCACUGCUGCAUUUUAUUUUCCCACUAACCUGAAUAACAAACUAGGGCACCACUGAAAGAGUAAAGCACAAAUUAAAAGUUGCAUUAGGAGCUGAACCACUGAAUCAAAAAUGUUUCUAAUAAUAAUAUAUCGGGCAGGCUGGAU
This 3326-nucleotide long non-coding RNA is filed under the name Canis lupus familiaris (dog). RNAcentral's name for it is "lncRNA (ENSCAFG00000052934.1)". The record is from RNAcentral. Lineage: Eukaryota; Metazoa; Chordata; Mammalia; Carnivora; Canidae.